GGCGGUGUAGCUCAGUCGGUUAGAGCGACGGCUUCAUAAGCCGUAGGUCGGUGGUUCAAGUCCACUCACCGCUACCA
This 77-nucleotide transfer RNA is filed under the name Deltaproteobacteria bacterium. RNAcentral's name for it is "tRNA-Met". It matches the Rfam family "tRNA". From Rfam's summary of the family: Transfer RNA (tRNA) molecules are approximately 80 nucleotides in length. The record is from RNAcentral. RNAcentral also lists the same sequence under 3 other names. Lineage: Bacteria; Pseudomonadati; Myxococcota; Myxococcia.